RNAcentral lists this transfer RNA (72 nucleotides) under Oxyzygonectes dovii. RNAcentral describes it as "tRNA-Thr". It matches the Rfam family "tRNA". From Rfam's summary of the family: Transfer RNA (tRNA) molecules are approximately 80 nucleotides in length. Their secondary structure includes four short double-helical elements and three loops (D, anti-codon, and T loops). Lineage: Eukaryota; Metazoa; Chordata; Actinopteri; Cyprinodontiformes; Anablepidae. The record is from RNAcentral.
GCAUUAGUAGCUCAGAAUCAGAGCGUCGGUCUUGUAAGCCGAAGGCCGGAGGUUAAAAUCCCCCCUACUGCU